Molecule: ribosomal RNA, 215 nt
Filed under: uncultured bacterium
Lineage: Bacteria
Description: partial 16S ribosomal RNA
Rfam family: Bacterial small subunit ribosomal RNA
Source: RNAcentral
GACGAACGCUGGCGGCGUGCCUAACACAUGCAAGUGGAGCGACGAACCGGGCUUCGGCCCGGGCGAAAGCCGCGAACGGGUGAGUAACACGUGGGUAACCUGCCCUGAUGAUUGGGACAACCCGAGGAAACUCGGGCUAAUACCGAAUGUGCCCUACGGCCUCAAGGCCACUGGGGAAAGGAAGCUUCGGCCUCCGCAUCGGGAUGGGCCCGCGG